This 460-nucleotide ribosomal RNA is filed under the name uncultured bacterium. RNAcentral describes it as "partial 16S ribosomal RNA". It matches the Rfam family "Bacterial small subunit ribosomal RNA", at positions 338 to 795 of the family's 1533-position model. The record is from RNAcentral.
CCUACGGGCGGCAGCAGUGAGGAAUAUUGGUCAAUGGACGAGAGUCUGAACCAGCCAAGUAGCGUGAAGGAUGACUGCCCUAUGGGUUGUAAACUUCUUUUAUAUGGGAAUAAAAUGUUCCACGUGUGGGAUUUUGUAUGUACCAUAUGAAUAAGGAUCGGCUAACUGCGUGCCAGCAGCCGCGGUAAUACGGAGGAUCCGAGCGUUAUCCGGAUUUAUUGGGUUUAAAGGGAGCGUAGGUGGAUUGUUAAGUCAGUUGUGAAAGUUUGCGGCUCAACCGUAAAAUUGCAGUUGAAACUGGCAGUCUUGAGUACAGUAGAGGUGGGCGGAAUUCGUGGUGUAGCGGUGAAAUGCUUAGAUAUCACGAAGAACUCCGAUUGCGAAGGCAGUUCACUGGACUGCAACUGACACUGAGGCUCGAAAGUGUGGGUAUCAAACAGGAUUAGAUACCCUUGUAGUC